CAGGACUUGACAUCCCUCUGACCGGCGUGUAACGGCGCCCUCCCUUCGGGGCAGAGGAGACAGGUGGUGCAUGGUUGUCGUCAGCUCGUGUCGUGAGAUGUUGGGUUAAGUUCCGCAACGAGCGCAACCCUUGUCAUUAGUUGCCAGCAGGUUAAGCUGGGCACUCUAGUGAGACUGCCGGGGACAACUCGGAGGAAGGUGGGGAUGACGUCAAAUCAUCAUGCCCCUUAUGCUCUGGGCUACACACGUGCUACAAUGGCCGGUACAGAGAGACGCAAUGUCGUGAGGCGGAGCAAAACUCUAAAACCGGUCCCAGUUCGGAUUGCAGGCUGAAACUCGCCUGCAUGAAGUCGGAGUUGCUAGUAAUCGCGAAUCAGAAUGUCGCGGUGGAUGCGUUCCC
This 400-nucleotide ribosomal RNA is filed under the name uncultured bacterium. RNAcentral describes it as "bacterial SSU rRNA". It matches the Rfam family "Bacterial small subunit ribosomal RNA", at positions 975 to 1375 of the family's 1533-position model. The record is from RNAcentral.